UACAUUAAAAAGUUAAGAGAGCAGAUAA
RNAcentral lists this small RNA (28 nucleotides) under Bombyx mori (domestic silkworm). RNAcentral describes it as "ovarian small RNA-5988". The record is from RNAcentral. Lineage: Eukaryota; Metazoa; Arthropoda; Insecta; Lepidoptera; Bombycidae.